AACGAACGCUGGCGGCAUGCCUAACACAUGCAAGUCGAACGAGACCUUCGGGUCUAGUGGCGCACGGGUGCGUAACGCGUUGGAACCUGCCUUUAGGUUCGGAAUAACUCAGAGAAAUUUGAGCUAAUACCGGAUGAUGUCUUCGGACCAAAGAUUUAUCGCCUUUAGAUGGGCCCGCGUUGGAUUAGCUAGUUGGUGGGGUAAAGGCCUACCAAGACGACGAUCCAUAGCUGGUCUGAGAGGAUGAUCAGCCACACUGGGACUGAGACACGGCCCAGACUCCUACGGGAGGCAGCAGUGGGGAAUAUUGGACAAUGGGCGAAAGCCUGAUCCAGCAAUGCCGCGUGAGUGAUGAAGGCCUUAGGGUUGUAAAGCUCUUUUACCCGAGAUGAUAAUGACAGUAUCGGGAGAAUAAGCUCCGGCUAACUCCGUG
Molecule: ribosomal RNA, 433 nt
Filed under: uncultured bacterium
Lineage: Bacteria
Description: partial 16S ribosomal RNA
Rfam family: Bacterial small subunit ribosomal RNA
Source: RNAcentral